Molecule: long non-coding RNA, 2280 nt
Filed under: Pelobates cultripes (western spadefoot toad)
Lineage: Eukaryota; Metazoa; Chordata; Amphibia; Anura; Pelobatidae
Source: RNAcentral
CACGUUUCUGUCUUCAUAACUAAUUCCCGCAGCUCCGAGAGGGAGGGGGGUCUGCAUCCAUCAACCAGAGGGUCUUUGUCCCGUGUAUAGCUGAUUUUUCCCCAACAAGUUGGUAUUAGAAGUGGGAUUCAAUUAGAGACGGAAAAAAAAGGUAAGAGAAUCGUGUAUUUCUGACAUUCAUUCUUUUCCUUUUUUUCUCCCAUUCUCCACAAAUUGCAUUCUUUAUUUAAAGUGGAUUUUUACUGCAUAGUCUAAGGUAAACUUCAUAGUUGUUGUCUUUGGGAGACAGUCCCUCCUUUGGUAGGAGGUUAGCCUUUGGAAGGCUAUAAAAAAAGUAAUCAAGCCUUUGGGAGGCUAAAAUGUAAUAUUGCCUUUGGUAGGCUAAAAGGUUAAAAAAGUUAAAAGGGAAUUAUUUUAACCCUGUACUUGAUGGAUAGCUGAUUUUUCCUCAACAGUGGUAGUUUUUCUUCUUUUAAAUAUAGUCUCCUCCUUUACUGGGUUGAUUCCCUUUAUGUAUUUAAAUGUUUAUAUCAUAUCCCCCCUGUCUUGUCUUUCCUCCAAGCUAUACAUGUUAAGAUCCUUUAACCUUUCCUUGUAAGUUUCAUCCUGUAAUCCAUCAACCAGUUUAGUAGCCCUUCUCUGAACUCUUACCAAAGUAUCAAUAUCCUUCUGGAGAUACGGUCUCCAGCACAUCGUACAAUACUCCAAGUGAGGUCUCACCAGUGUUCUGUACAAUGGCAUGAGCACUUCCCUCUCUCUCCUGCUAAUACCUCUCCCUAGACAACCAAGCAUUCUGCUAGCAUUUCCUGCUGCUCUAUUACAUUGUCUGCCUACCUUUAAGUCAUCAGAAAUAAUCACCCCUAAAUCCCUUUCCUCAGAUAUUGAAGUUAGGACUCUAUCAAAUAUUCUGUACUCUGCUCUUGUGUUUUUACAUCCAAUAUGCAUUAUCUUGCACUUAUGCACAUUAAAUGUCAACUGCCACAGCUCUGACCAUUUUUCUAGUUUAUCUUAAUCAUUUACCAUUUGUCUUUUACCUCCAGACGUUCGAUGACCAUAUUCCGCUGCCUGUGUUCAGGAGACAAAAUGCAGCAAUGCACUGGACCACGUGCGUUCUGUUAUACGAAUGGUGGCCACUUAGGGAAAGCACUUAAGCUAAUGUGUCAAGUUGUUAAUUUGUGGUUAACAGCCAGGGGAGGUCGGUGUUCUAAGGCAUAACAAGGGGGACCACAAACCAGUCAUUCAGGAGAUGAACAAGGGGGUACGGACAAAAGAACACAAGGUAAUGGAUUCGGCUACAUGGGUGUCCCUAGAAGUCAACUGAUUAGUGUCCACAGAAAUUGUACAGAUUUGGGUUAAUGCAAAAAGCAAGCAAAUAUAGCAAUGGAUAAGCUCAAAGAAAAGGGAUUCUCUGAGGAUCACCUGAAGAGAGCGUUUUAGAGAGUUUUAAAUAUGGAUGGUGGUGUUUUAUUGCAAGAUAAGGUAAAGAAGAAUUCAAAUAAAAAUAAUGUGGGAUUAUUCCAACACAGCUUCAAUACUCAAUUGAAUUGUAAAGCCAGUUAUAGAAAUAAAAUGUUAAAUAGGCACUGCCCUUACUAUUGGAAGAGGUCAGGUUUUUGAAGCACUUAAAUAACAUCAAGAAAAAUCUAGAAUGCCACUCUGUGCCGAACCAUUGCAAUAAAUGCCCUGCUUUUAGUUUUAAUAACCUUUCGUUAUUCGUCAUAGAACAGGUUACAUUGGACAACAGAGGUGGGGAUUUGAUGAUGAAGCGGAGGAGAAGGGAGCGCUUUUGAAAACAAACUACAGACAUUGCAAACUAAGGGUUUGAAUGAUGAUUUUGAUUUAGUUUGUUUUCUGUGAUUACUUUUUUUUUUCCUCCCUCCAAAGUGCAAUCAUCAGGAAUCUGGUACAGCUGCCCCUCCUAACCCAGGAUUGACAUAAAGUGACCUGGGAGGAGGUGUUUUGAGCUACUUAUAGUUGACUGUGGAUUAUUUUGGAUUAUUUUUUGCUGCAGUGACUAAAGAACCUUUUGCCCUGGAUGAAGUCUUGUUCUCCAGACACGUAGGACUGUUUGUAGUCAUUGAUUUAUUUUAUUGUAUACCAGAGGACUCUAUUUUUCCCUAGCACUAGAUCUACGAAGGUGGAUUACCUCAUUCUUCGUCAGCACUUUAUUAAUGGAAUUGGUCUCCUACACGUCAUGGUUAAUAUUGAUGGGCUUGACAAUUUUUGUCCUCUUAUAAGUGUUUUUAACCAUUAAAUUGUGUGUUAUUUUUGAUGUAUUGC